RNAcentral lists this ribosomal RNA (440 nucleotides) under uncultured bacterium. Its description in RNAcentral is "partial 16S ribosomal RNA". It matches the Rfam family "Bacterial small subunit ribosomal RNA", at positions 338 to 795 of the family's 1533-position model. The record is from RNAcentral.
CCUACGGGUCGCAGCAGUGAGGAAUAUUGCACAAUGGGGGAAACCCUGAUGCAGCGACGCCGCGUGAGUGAAGAAGUAAUUCGUUAUGUAAAGCUCUAUCAGCAGGGAAGAAAAUGACGGUACCUGAGUAAGAAGCCCCGGCUAACUACGUGCCAGCAGCCGCGGUAAGACGUAGGGGGCAAGCGUUAUCCGGAUUUACUGGGUGUAAAGGGAGCGUAGACGGCAGUGCAAGUCUGGAGUGAAAGGCGGGGGCUCAACCCCCGGACUGCUCUGGAAACUGUACGGCUGGAGUGCAGGAGAGGUAAGUGGAAUUCCUAGUGUAGCGGUGAAAUGCGUAGAUAUUAGGAGGAACACCAGUGGCGAAGGCGGCUUACUGGACUGUAACUGACGUUGAGGCUCGAAAGCGUGGGGAGCAAACAGGAUUAGAUACCCCGGUAGUC